GCGGGAUGGAGCAGUCUGGUAGCUCGUCGGGCUCAUAACCCGAAGGUCGCAGGUU
RNAcentral lists this transfer RNA (55 nucleotides) under Lactiplantibacillus plantarum. RNAcentral describes it as "Lactobacillus plantarum tRNA-Met". It matches the Rfam family "tRNA", at positions 2 to 53 of the family's 71-position model. From Rfam's summary of the family: Transfer RNA (tRNA) molecules are approximately 80 nucleotides in length. The record is from RNAcentral. Lineage: Bacteria; Bacillati; Bacillota; Bacilli; Lactobacillales; Lactobacillaceae.